GUUGUAAAUCUUGUAAUAUAUACUAUUAAACUAUACAACGAUAGAAAAGAAACUAUCCUGGAAAGUAUAAAGAGAAUAGGAGAUGGAGAGAGAGAGUAGUUGUAUUUCAGAAUAUUUCCGAAUAGAAUUCAUUUCAACUGAACCAGCUAUUUAUAGAGGUUGGUUGAUGAAUCUUCCUAACUAAGAUUUGCAAUACUUCUAGGUUAAGUAUUAUGAUUCUUCUCGAGUAAGUAUCGUAAGUCUUCCUCGAUAAGCUUUGCGAGUCUUCCUUAGUAAGUUUCGCCAAACUUACUUGAUAAGAUUUGCGAGUCUUCUUGACUAAGCUUUUGACAAUCACUUAAUAUAAUAUUUUAUAACACUCCCCCUUGAUUGUCAAAUGCGAGUUAUCAUAGAGAUUGACUGCCUCGUUAAAACCUUGCAAGGAAAAACCCAGUGGGAUAAAAACCUUGUCGAAGGAAAAAGAGUACAGUCUCCCCCUGAAUAAAAUCAUUCACAUUUCGACAUCUUGUUUUAGUAGACUCCUUAAUCUUCGCAUACCCCUAUUACUUCAUAACUUCUCAAAUGUUGAUGCCGAUAAUGACUUUGUAAAUAAAUCCGCCAAGUUAUCGCAUGAACGAACUUGUUGUAUAUCAAUAUCACCAUUUUCAUAAAAUUCUUGAGUAUAGAAGAAUCCUGGCAAUAUGUGCUUUGUUCGAUCUCCUUAGACAUAUCCUUCCACAAGUUGUCUUAACCAAACAUAUCUUUUGCUUGCUUCAUGAAUUUCCAGUAACUCUGUUCAACCAAACAUAUCUUUUGCUUGCUUCAUGAAUUUCCAGUAACUCUGUUUGUGAUCGCCCAAAAUGAAAAUGUGACAUGUAUACAACAUCUUUUAGUUGAGCCAAAAUUGAAUCUCGCCAACAGGUUCACAAUAACUGCAAUAUAAAGGCUCCAAAUUGCACGAAGAUAGGAAAAUUCAGGUCCGAUUGCUUCUUCAUCCUGUUUCCUAGGACGAAAGGGAUCCUUUCCAACUUCGAGUGAUCGAACAACCAUUAGUGUGGUUAGUGGAUGAGUUUUGUCCAUGUAGAACCGAUCAAGGACCUUUUUCAGUGUAGUUUGAUUGAUAAACAAAUAUGCCUGAAGAUAAGUGCUCCACCUGUAUACCUAAACAAAAUCUUGUCUUUCGAAGAUUUUUCAUUUCAAAACUCAUUUUUCAAAUGGUUAAUAGCACUAGUAAUAUCUUCAAAAGUACCAACAAUAUUCAAAUCAUCCACAUAUACAACAAUA
This 1263-nucleotide long non-coding RNA is filed under the name Daucus carota (carrot). Its description in RNAcentral is "long non-coding RNA (DCAR_LNC007487)". The record is from RNAcentral. Lineage: Eukaryota; Viridiplantae; Streptophyta; Magnoliopsida; Apiales; Apiaceae.